UAUUUCUUCAUUUCAGUUAUUAUGUAUAAUCCCUGACGUUUUUUCUAGUGAUUAUACAUAAUCCUUGAAAAUUUUAGUGAUUAUAUAUAAUCCCUAAACUGGCCAGUGAUUCUACAUAAUCCCUGAACAUUUCAGGGAUUCUACAUAAUCACUGAUUAUACAAAUUCACUGUAACAUAUACACGUUACUCAAUCGCACCAUUCCUCAUACACAAUUACACCAUUCCCCGUACACCAUACAUCAUAGCACAAUGAAUCUUUUACCAUUGCACCAUAUGUCAUUCCCUAUUUCACCAUACACGUUGAUUUGCAAGUUUACACCAUCCAUCGGCUGUAUAAAAAAGACACUUUUAUCCCUUGAAAUUAAUACAGAAAAUCAAAAAUAAUAAAAUAAGACUAUUUAUUUUGAUCUAAACGAUUCAUUCGUCUGGCACAUCUAUUUGAAUGUUACCCUUCCGGAGCACCUGAGAUCACCG
RNAcentral lists this long non-coding RNA (475 nucleotides) under Mytilus galloprovincialis (Mediterranean mussel). Lineage: Eukaryota; Metazoa; Mollusca; Bivalvia; Mytilida; Mytilidae. The record is from RNAcentral.